GAUGAACGCUGGCGGCGUGCCUAAUACAUGCAAGUCGAGCGAACAGAUAAGGAGCUUGCUCCUUUGACGUUAGCGGCGGACGGGUGAGUAACACGUGGGUAACCUACCUAUAAGACUGGGAUAACUUCGGGAAACCGGAGCUAAUACCGGAUAACAUUUGGAACCGCAUGGUUCUAAAGUGAAAGAUGGUUUUGCUAUCACUUAUAGAUGGACCCGCGCCGUAUUAGCUAGUUGGUAAGGUAACGGCUUACCAAGGCAACGAUACGUAGCCGACCUGAGAGGGUGAUCGGCCACACUGGAACUGAGACACGGUCCAGACUCCUACGGGAGGCAGCAGUAGGGAAUCUUCCGCAAUGGGCGAAAGCCUGACGGAGCAACGCCGCGUGAGUGAUGAAGGGUUUCGGCUCGUAAAACUUUGUUAUUAGGGAAGAACAAACGUGUAAGUAACUGUGCACGUCUUGACGGUACCUAAUCAGAAAGCCACGGCUAACUACGUG
RNAcentral lists this ribosomal RNA (497 nucleotides) under uncultured bacterium. Its description in RNAcentral is "partial 16S ribosomal RNA". It matches the Rfam family "Bacterial small subunit ribosomal RNA", at positions 28 to 507 of the family's 1533-position model. The record is from RNAcentral.